GCAGAAAGAGAGGCCAGUCAGCCAAGGAGGGAGAAGAUUAAUGGUCAUAGGCCUGGGGUUAGAUGGCCAGGUGCAGCAGAAUGUAGAAUGUGGGAAGAUUCAAUGUGGUAAUAUGGUGGCAGCAUGGAGGGGA
Alosa sapidissima (American shad) is the source of this 133-nucleotide long non-coding RNA. RefSeq lists it as uncharacterized. The transcript has 3 exons. The record is from RefSeq and is a predicted model, not a curated record. Lineage: Eukaryota; Metazoa; Chordata; Actinopteri; Clupeiformes; Clupeidae.